ACGAACGCUGGCGGCGUGCUUAACACAUGCAAGUCGAGCGGUAAGGCCUCUUCGGGGGUACACGAGCGGCGAACGGGUGAGUAACACGUGGGUGACCUGCCCUCAGCUCUGGGAUAAGCCUGGGAAACUGGGUCUAAUACCGGAUAUGACCUUUCCUCGCAUGGGGUUUGGUGGAAAGUUUUUUCGGCUGGGGAUGGGCCCGCGGCCUAUCAGCUUGUUGGUGGGGUGAUGGCCUACCAAGGCGACGACGGGUAGCCGGCCUGAGAGGGCGACCGGCCACACUGGGACUGAGACACGGCCCAGACUCCUACGGGAGGCAGCAGUGGGGAAUAUUGCGCAAUGGGCGGAAGCCUGACGCAGCGACGCCGCGUGGGGGAUGACGGCCUUCGGGUUGUAAACCUCUUUCGACCUUGACGAAGCCUCUUGGGGUGACGGUAGGGGUAGAAGAAGCACCGGCCAACUACGU
RNAcentral lists this ribosomal RNA (466 nucleotides) under uncultured bacterium. RNAcentral describes it as "bacterial SSU rRNA". It matches the Rfam family "Bacterial small subunit ribosomal RNA", at positions 29 to 506 of the family's 1533-position model. The record is from RNAcentral.